Molecule: ribosomal RNA, 255 nt
Filed under: uncultured bacterium
Lineage: Bacteria
Description: partial 16S ribosomal RNA
Rfam family: Bacterial small subunit ribosomal RNA
Source: RNAcentral
UACGUAGGGGGCAAGCGUUGUCCGGAUUUAUUGGGCGUAAAGAGCGUGUAGGCGGCCACACAGGUCAGCUGUGAAAACUCGAGGCUCAACCUCGAGACGUCGGUUGAAACCGUAUGGCUAGAGUCCGGAAGAGGAGAGUGGAAUUCCCGGUGUAGCGGUGAAAUGCGCAGAUAUCGGGAAGAACACCCGUGGCGAAGGCGGCUCUCUGGGACGGUACUGACGCUGAGACGCGAAAAGCGUGGGGGAGCGAACAGG